UCUUCUCUGUGUCCUUCCUCAAACAAAAUAAAACAAAACAAAACAAACCCUCAAAAACAAAAUCCUUGAAGGGAGACAAGUCUGCCAGGGAAGCAAGUGGCAGCUGUGCUGCAGAGCAACUCUCGGCUGGCCCCACCCCCAGCCGCCCAGUCGCCAGCACCAGCGCCAACGUCAACGUCCACAGGGCAGCGAGAGGGUCAUGGGACGAAGGAGGGAACACAACUCAGAAACUUGUUCAUACAAAGAGUCAGGAGACUGAGCGCGAUCUUGCCCCCACGUGCCUGUGUGACACUAGACAACCAAUAUUUGGCACUGAGACAGAUGAUGGUAACGAUGCUCACUAAGGAAGGACAGAUAAAAAGAAGCUGCCGGGACAAGUAUAUCUGAGCAAAUCUCCUAAGAUGUGGUU
Long non-coding RNA from Fukomys damarensis (Damara mole-rat), 409 nucleotides. RefSeq lists it as uncharacterized. Lineage: Eukaryota; Metazoa; Chordata; Mammalia; Rodentia; Bathyergidae. The transcript has 3 exons. The record is from RefSeq and is a predicted model, not a curated record.